RNAcentral lists this ribosomal RNA (256 nucleotides) under uncultured bacterium. Its description in RNAcentral is "partial 16S ribosomal RNA". It matches the Rfam family "Bacterial small subunit ribosomal RNA", at positions 524 to 782 of the family's 1533-position model. The record is from RNAcentral.
GACGAACCGUGCGAACGUUGUUCGGAAUCACUGGGCUUAAAGGGCGCGUAGGCGGCAAAUCAAGCCCGGGGUGAAAGCCCUCAGCUCAACUGGGGAAGUGCCUCGGAUACUGGCUGCUGGAGGGAGGUAGGGUCGAGGGAACUCUGGUGGAGCGGUGAAAUGCGUUUGAUAUCAGAAGGAACGCCGGUGGCGAAAGCGCUCGACUGGACCCUUUCUGACGCUGAGGCGCGAAAGCUAGGGAGCAAACGGGAUAGAA